RNAcentral lists this ribosomal RNA (506 nucleotides) under uncultured bacterium. RNAcentral's name for it is "partial 16S ribosomal RNA". It matches the Rfam family "Bacterial small subunit ribosomal RNA", at positions 29 to 523 of the family's 1533-position model. The record is from RNAcentral.
AGUGAACGCUGGCGGUAGGCCUAACACAUGCAAGUCGAACGGCAGCACAGGAGAGCUUGCUCUCUGGGUGGCGAGUGGCGGACGGGUGGGGAAUACAUCGGAAUCUACUCUGUCGUGGGGGAUAACGUAGGGACACUUACGCUAAUACCGCAUACGACCUACGGGUGAAAGCAGGGGAUCUUCGGACCUUGCGGGAUUGAAUGAGCCGAUGUCGGAUUAGCUAGUUGGCGGGGUAAAGGCCCACCAAGGCGACGAUCCGUAGCUGGUCUGAGAGGAUGAGCAGCCACACUGGAACUGAGACACGGUCCAGACUCCUCCGGGAGGCAGCAGUGGGGGAUAUUGGACAGUGGGCGCAAGCCUGAUCCAGCCAUACCGCGUGGGGGAAGAAGGCCUUCGGGUUGUAAAGCCCUUUUGUUGGGAAAGAAAUCCAGCUGGCUAAUACCCGGUUGGGAUGACGGUACCCAAAGAAUAAGCACCGGCUAACUUCGUGCCAGCCGCCGCCGUAA